AGUUUUAUUAUGAUGAUGAACUCGGA
Molecule: non-coding RNA, 26 nt
Filed under: Cricetulus griseus (Chinese hamster)
Lineage: Eukaryota; Metazoa; Chordata; Mammalia; Rodentia; Cricetidae
Source: RNAcentral